UACGGAGGGUGCAAGCGUUAUCCGGAUUUACUGGGCUUAAAGGGUGCGCAGGCGGAUAUGUAAGUCAGUGGUGAAAUCUCCGGGCUUAACCCGGAAACUGCCGUUGAUACUAUAUAUCUUGAAUGCUGUGGAGGUAAGCGGAAUAUGUCAUGUAGCGGUGAAAUGCUUAGAUAUGACAUAGAACACCUAUUGCGAAGGCAGCUUACUACACAGAUAUUGACGCUCAUGCACGAAAGCGUGGGGAUCAAACAGG
This 253-nucleotide ribosomal RNA is filed under the name uncultured bacterium. Its description in RNAcentral is "partial 16S ribosomal RNA". It matches the Rfam family "Bacterial small subunit ribosomal RNA", at positions 524 to 776 of the family's 1533-position model. The record is from RNAcentral.